Molecule: ribosomal RNA, 1987 nt
Filed under: Candidatus Kaiserbacteria bacterium
Lineage: Bacteria; Candidatus Kaiseribacteriota
Description: partial 23S ribosomal RNA
Rfam family: Bacterial large subunit ribosomal RNA (bases 1741-1975)
Source: RNAcentral
CUCAUCUUAUCCUGGGGCUGGAGCAAACCAUAUCUGCUCUCCUUGCUGGAAACAGCAAGGUAAUCGGUUGGUGGAUUUUGUCUUUGGCAUAAUCCACCAACCGGACUGUAACAAUGCGGUACCCUCCGCGGUACAGGAAACAAGCUCAAAACGGAGAAGGCUGACUCAUGCGGUCUAGGGAAGACAAAUGACCUGCAGUUUCGCAGGUCCCAGGUGUGCUACACUUGGAGUAUGAGAGCUAAUUCCGUAGGAAAGAUGUGUUCUGAAGUCGAUCUGGCAUAUGUUGCUGGUUUGGUUGAUGGAGAUGGCGCUAUCAUGGCGUGUAUCGAACCACACCAAGAAAAGAAGUUUCGGUUCAGAGUAAGGGUUGUUUUCAAAGUCACUCAAAAACACAAGGAAGACUUAAUAUUUCUUGAAAAAUUGUUUGAGUGUGGCUUAAUAAGACAAAACGGAUCAACAUACGAUUGGAUAGUGCGCGAUCAACAAUCGCUCGCUACCAUACUUGGUAUGUUACUCCCUUACUCCCGCUCGAAACAGCAGCAAAUUAAGCUUGCGUUAGAUAUUCUUCAUACUGAAAUAGUAACCAAAGAAGACCUACUGCGAGUUGCCACAUUGGCGGAUGCAUUGUCACGGUUUAACGUUCGGUCCAACAACCGACGAAAAAACCAUGUGACAAUGAUCCAAGAACACAUUUCCUCUAACGACUGAUCGCUACUGGUUGGCAGUAGCGUGAGAUAUACCCGCUUUGUGGGGUAUCACACGGCUUGCACCUACGGUGCGUGUGGUGACACGCGUACUACGGUGAUGGAAUAGUCUGAUCUAUGCGGGAACGCAUAGUUAACAGCAAAAUGAGGUCCCAAGGGUUUGGCUGUUCGNNNNNNNNNNNNNNNNNNNNNNNNNNNNNNNNNNNNNNNNNNNNNNNCUCCUAUCUACUGCAGGCGUCGAUUCUUGAGGAGAGUUGUCCGUAGUAAGUAAUUGCUACUUCAAGGAGAGAUCCUUGAUGACAAUACGGCUUAUAACGGUGAAGUCUAAGUCAAAUCUGGUUUUAGAGAAUGAUUGACCAAGGUCCAGUGUCAAUCAAACUCGCUUGAGGACCGGAAUCUUGAUAUGAUAAUACCGUGGGAAGUCGAUCCGACACAGAUUUAGCAUACAUUGCGGGUUUCCUUGAUGGAGACGGAAGCAUUAUGUUGCAGGUAAAGUCGCGUAGCGAUACAAAUCGCGGAGUGCGCUUUAUGGCAACUAUCUGCCUCUAUCAAGAUACUCGUCACGAGAGUCCACUGUUGUGGAUGCGUGAAAUCUUUGGUAUCGGGUACAUAUCACACCGUAAGGAUAGUAUUACCGAACUGAGAGUUAAUGGUUUUGCUUCGGUAAGAAGAAUACUCAUUUUGCUCCAGCCUUACAUUAGGUUCAAACAAGUACAAGUAACAGCAUUGUUGAAUGCUUGCGAAAUACUUGGUGGCCGCAGGGUUGGUGAUCUGAAUGAAGUCCAGCUGAAAGAGUUGGUUGAUCUGGUUUUUUUGAUCAGGGAAAACAACUAUAAAAGCAGGCAGACGCUUACCAAAGAAACAUUGCUACUGCGUUUGGGUUUGACCCCGUAACGACUUGCACUGAAAUAUGUGCAGACCGCAUGUUGAUGAAUCAUUUCUUUGAAAAUGACUGACCAUGCAGGUAACAUGCCGUCGCCCUCGCCCUUUGCCUUUCAAGGUGCAGGGACGGGUGAAGAUAUAGUCUGUGCUCCUAGAAAUAGGGGAAUCCACGACGAGAGGACCCGGAUGAACGAACCUCUGGUCUAUCGGCUGUCACGCCAGUGGCAUUGCCGAGUAGCUAUGUUCGGAACGGAUAACCGCUGAAAGCAUCUAAGCGGGAAGCCGCCUCCAAGAUAAGGAAUCAUUAAGUCCCCAGAGAGAUGAUCUGGUUGAUAGGCACUAGGUAGAAGUACAGCAAUGUAUGGAGCCGAGGUGUACUAAUAGGACGUAGUUUCCUGUAA